UACGUAGGUGGCAAGCGUUGUCCGGAUUUACUGGGUGUAAAGGGCGUGUAGCCGGGUUGACAAGUCAGAUGUGAAAUCCUGCGGCUUAACCGCAGAACUGCAUUUGAAACUGUUGAUCUUGAGUACUGGAGAGGCAGACGGAAUUCCUAGUGUAGCGGUGAAACGCGUAGAUAUUAGGAGGAACACCAGUGGCGAAGGCGGCCUACUGGACGGUGACUGACGCUGAGGCUCGAAAGCGUGGGGAGCAAACAGG
This 253-nucleotide ribosomal RNA is filed under the name uncultured bacterium. RNAcentral describes it as "partial 16S ribosomal RNA". It matches the Rfam family "Bacterial small subunit ribosomal RNA", at positions 524 to 776 of the family's 1533-position model. The record is from RNAcentral.